Callorhinus ursinus (northern fur seal) is the source of this 98-nucleotide non-coding RNA. NCBI's taxonomy places the organism in Eukaryota, Metazoa, Chordata, Mammalia, Carnivora, Otariidae. The record is from RefSeq and is a predicted model, not a curated record.
CUUCACAUCCUGCAGUAUCGCCUCAUUUGGAUGUGUCUGGAGUCUUGGAAACUUGACUACCCUACAUUCUCCUACAAAUGGAUCUAGAGAGCUUGUUU